RNAcentral lists this ribosomal RNA (798 nucleotides) under uncultured crenarchaeote. Its description in RNAcentral is "bacterial SSU rRNA". It matches the Rfam family "Archaeal small subunit ribosomal RNA", at positions 52 to 859 of the family's 1478-position model. Lineage: Archaea; Thermoproteati; Thermoproteota. The record is from RNAcentral.
UGCGAGUCACGUAGCAAUACGUGGCAUACGGCUCAGUAACACGUAGUCAACAUGCCCAGGGGACGUGGAUAACCUCGGGAAACUGAGGAUAAACCGCGAUAGGCCAAGAUUUCUGGAAUGGAUCAUGGCUUAAAUCUAUAUGGCCCCUGGAUUGGACUGCGGCCGAUCAGGCUGUUGGUGAGGUAAUGGCCCACCAAACCUGUAACCGGUACGGGCUCUGAGAGGAGGAGCCCGGAGAUGGGCACUUAGACAAGGGCCCAGGCCCUAUGGGGCGCAGCAGGCGCGAAAACUCUGCAAUAAGCGAAAGCUUGACAGGGUUAUUCUGAGUGAUUUCCGCUAAGGAAAUCUUUUGGCACCUCUAAAAAUGGUGCAGAAUAAGGGGUGGGCAAGCCUGGUGUCAGCCGCCGCGGUAAUACCAGCACCCCGAGUGGUCGGGACGAUUAUUGGGCCUAAAGCAUCCGUAGCCGGUUCUACAAGUCUUCCGUUAAAUCCACCUGCUUAACAGAUGGGCUGCGGAGGAUACUAUAGAGCUAGGAGGCGGGAGAGGCAAGCGGUACUUAGUGGGUAGGGGUAAAAUCCGUUGAUCCAUUGAAGACCACCAGUGGCGAAGGCGGCUUGCCAGAACGCACUCGACGGUGAGGGAUGAAAGCUGGGGGAGCAAACCGGAUUAGAUACCCGGGUAGUCCCAGCUGUAAACGAUGCAGACUCGGUGAUGAAUAGGCUUCGUGCCUAUUCAGUGCCGCAGGGAAGCCGUUAAGUCUGCCGCCUGGGGAGUACGGUCGCAAGACUGAAACUUAA